GUGUCAGCCGCCGCGGUAAUACGGACCGUCCAAACGUUAUUCGGAAUCACUGGGCUUAAAGGGUACGUAGGCGGCGCUGUUAGUCGGGCGUGAAAGCCCUCGGCUCAACCGAGGAACUGCGCCCGAAACUGCAGUGCUUGAGGGAGACAGAGGUAAGCGGAACUGAUGGUGGAGCGGUGAAAUGCGUUGAUAUCAUCAGGAACACCAGUGGCGAAAGCGGCUUACUGGGUCUCUUCUGACGCUGAGGUACGAAAGCUAGGGUAGCGAAGGGGAUUAGAUACCCGAGUAGUCC
Molecule: ribosomal RNA, 292 nt
Filed under: uncultured bacterium
Lineage: Bacteria
Description: partial 16S ribosomal RNA
Rfam family: Bacterial small subunit ribosomal RNA
Source: RNAcentral